RNAcentral lists this long non-coding RNA (5384 nucleotides) under Medicago truncatula (barrel medic). Its description in RNAcentral is "long non-coding RNA (MTRU_LNC003521)". Lineage: Eukaryota; Viridiplantae; Streptophyta; Magnoliopsida; Fabales; Fabaceae. The record is from RNAcentral.
UCAGUAACAAAUUGACAAACUUGGCAAUUGGUAACUAUUGUCAAAGAUGGUGCAGCAAGGAUUGGAAAAUAAGAACCAAGCAUUUAAUGCACACGGUUCAAAACCCUCUAUAAAUAGAGAAGAGUUUCAGCAAUGAAACACACCACAACACAAUCCUCACUCACAUAGAGUUGAGAGAAAAAUAGAGAGUUCCUCAUAAGAGUGUGAGAGAAAAAUAUAGUGAGCCAAUUUGUGAGAGUUGUAUCUACAAAUUGAGAUACAUAGUUAGGUCCACCUGAGGGUGAAGAUUUGUAUUCCCAUUAUUAUUAUAGUGGAGAUUUAAGAGGCCUACGGGUCCCGUGGUUUUUCCUUACUCACAUUGAGAAGGUUUUCCACGCUAAAAUUUUGUUGUGUCAUUUUACGUUUCCGCUAAAGUGCCUAUUUUGAGUUCACGGAGGAGGGAAAUUAUGCAGGCAUUUCCCAACAGUGGUAUCAGAGCACUCGUUGCUCUGGGACUAUGAGUUUUCGUAUAUGCAAGAUAAUUCUUAAUAUGCUCUGUGGCUGCAACAUUGUUUGAUCUUCCACAUCAGAAAAGAAAUUUCUUGUCGCUAGAAAUAAAGUGAGGUAGUGAUAUAUUGCAUGUCUAGGAGUUCUGGCAAGGAAAGACUUGGUAUUUAAGCGUGUCUAUUGACCCACCUUUCUUACCUGGGAACUUUCAUGGUGCACUAUUCACGAACUCAUAUUUAUUCUAGUAUACGAUACUAGUCACACUUGUUAAAGAAAUUAUUUCCUGUGUAACUCAAGAUGGAGGGUGCAAUCAGCCAUGAUGGUGAUAUGUUCAAGCUAACUGCUGACAAUUACACAUAUUGGAAGCCAAUGAUGGAAGACCACUUGUAUUGCAAAGACUUUCAUGAGCCAAUCACCCAAAAAGAUAAACCCUAGAAGAAGACCGCUACGGAAUGGGAGACGGAGAAUCGAAAAACAGUGGCUAUGAUCCGAAAAUACAUUGAUCGAAGCUUGUUCGAGCAUGUAUCAACUGAUACCAAUGCGUAUGAGUUAUGGACGAAGCUUGAAUCAUUGAUUCAAAAGAAGACGCCGAGAAAUAAAGCACACCUUGUUAGAAGACUGGUGAAGUUAGAGUACUCAGACGGUCAAAAUAUGAUCGAGCAUUUAAACACCUUCAAAGGUAUUGUAAAUCAGUUGACAAAAACAGAAAUGAAGAUAGAUGACGAGUUGCAAACACUUCUACUUCUCAGUUCCUUACCUGAGAGUUGGGACACUUUAGUUGUCACUCUCAGCAAUUCUGCUCCAGAUGGAAAACUUAGCAUGGAUUCAGUCACUGACUGCCUGUUAAAUGAAGAGUCAAGACGAAGGGAAAGAGGCUUGAACAAUUAGUUCGAAGCCAACGUCAUUGACAACAGAGGAAGGAGCAAGAACCGUGAAAAAGGUGGUCGUGAAAAAUCACGAGGCAGAUCAAAGACUCGCACUAAACUAAGUUGUUAUUACUGUGGAAAACCAGGCCAUAGAAAGUUUGAGUGCAGAUUCUUCAAGAGAGAUCAGCAGGCUGGAACGAUCCAUCCCGAUAUAAUCGAUUCAAAGAAGAAAGAAGAAGGAACCACGACAGCAGUCGUAGCAACUAACGAGAAUUUCUUUCUCGUUGAAGAUGAAAAUUAUCUAAAUGUAGCGUCUGAUGACUGCAUUUGGAUAAUUGACUCAGGAGCAUCCUUUCAUGUAACCCCUCAUGAAGAAUUUUUCUCAUCAUAUCAAAAAGGAGACUUUGGUAUGGUGAAGAUGGGCAAUCAUGUCACAAGCAAGAUUGUUGGCAUUGGCGAGGUGACUCUGGCUACAGAUAAUGGCUCUAAGCUCGUGUUGAAGGAGGUUAGACAUGUUCCAGACAUGCGUCUAAAUCUUAUCUCGACAGGAAAAUUAGAUGAUAUUGGUAUGAUAAACCAAUUUGGAGAUGGCAGAUGGAAGCUUAGUAAAGGAAGCAUGAUCAUUGCUCGUGGUAAAAAGGAAGGCUCUCUGUAUGUUAUGCAGGGAAAGAUAAACAAGGGAGAUAUCAAUGUAUCUCAAGGCAUGAGCAAAGAAUUGUGGCACAAACGACUUGGCCACAUGAGUGAGAAAGGUUUGGAGAUUCUUGCUAAGAAUCAUCUUCCAAACAUCAAGGGUCAACCACUUGAAUCCUGUGAAGAUUGUCUAGCAGGCAAACAACACAGAGUAUCUUUUCAAAGAUCGGAUGAUGCAAAAAGAAGAAAGCAUAUCCUCGAUCUUGUUCAUUCAGAUGUUUGCUCUACAUCUGAAAGGUCCCUUGGUGGUUCACAAUACUUUGUUACCUUCAUUGACGAUCACUCUAGAAAAGUGUGGGUGUAUCCAUUGAAGAAGAAAGAUCAAGUUCUUCAGGUUUUCAAAGAAUUUCAUGCCUCUGUAGAACGGGCAUCUGGAAGAAAACUGAAAUGUCUAAGGACAGAUAAUGGUGGAGAGUAUAUAGGCACAUUUGCAGCCUACUGUAAAUCUCAUGGAAUAAGACAUGAGAAGGUACCUCCUAAAACUCCUCAGAUGAAUGGAGUAGCUGAAAGGAUGAAUAGAACGAUUGCAGAGAAAGUCAGAAGCAUGCUUUCUCAAGCAAAACUUCCCAAAUUAUUUUGGGGUGAAGCAGUGAGAACUGCAGUUGAUUUGAUUAAUUUGUCUCCUUCAAGACCUUUAAAUGGAGAGAUACCAGAUGAAGUAUGGUAUGGAAAGAAAGCCUCCUAUGGUCAUUUGAGAGUCUUUGGAUGCAGGGCAUUUGUGCAUGUUCCAAAAGAUGAAAGAGCAAAGCUAGAUGCUAAGACGAAGGAGUGCAUAUACCUUGGUUCACCAAGAGAUGAACUUGGCUUUAGAUUAUGGGAUCCUGCUACUAAGAAGAUGGUUCGAAGCAGAGACGUGGUAUUCUAUGAAGAUCAGACGAUCCACGACAUUCAAUCUAAAAAGCCAAAGACCAUUGUGGUGCACAAUUCAGGGGGAGAGAUUCCUCAGAUGAAUUACGAUCAUGAUCAGCUAACAGAACCAAAUCAGAUGGAGGAGCCUGAUCAGAUAGAACAAAAUCAAGCAAUGCAUGAAGAGCAGAUGGCAUAUGAUGAUGUUGAUGUUGAGAUGGAACAAGAACCUCAAUUGAGAAGAUCAACGAGAUCUAGACAACCAUCAAAAAGAUACUUCUCAGGUGAAUAUGUAAAUUUCACUGAGGAAGGGGAACCUCAAAGCUUCAUGGAAGCUAUAGAGACAACCAAUAAGGAAAAAUGGUUACAAUCCAUGGAAGAAGAGAUGAAAUCCCUAAAGGAGAAUGAGACGUAUGACCUGGUAAAAUUACCAGAUGGAAAGAGGGCAUUGAAAAAUAAAUGGGUGUUCAAACUCAAGUCUGAAGAGAACAACCCAAACCCCAAGUACAAAGCACGAAUUGUUGUGAAGGGGUGCCAUCAAAAGAAAGGCAUUGAUUUUGAAGAAAUAUUCUCACCGGUGGUGAAGAUGACAUCCAUUAGAGCAAUCCUUGGUCUAGCUGCAAAACUAGACUUAGAGAUAGAACAACUUGAUGUUAAAACAGCAUUCUUGCAUGGAGACCUAGAGGAAGAAAUCUAUAUGGAGCAACCUAAAGGUUUCGUUGAACCAGGCAAAGAACACCUUGUGUGUCGCUUGAAGAAAAGUUUAUAUGGCUUAAAGCAGGCUCCAAGACAAUGGUACAAGAAGUUUGAUCUCUUCAUGACCCAACACAACUUCACAAAGACGUCAACAGACCAUUGUGUGUUUGUGAAGAACUAUGAAAAUGGAGAGUCCAUCAUACUUUUAUUGUAUGUUGAUGAUAUGCUUAUUGUUGGAAAAGAUAAGACAAAGAUAUCUGCUCUCAAGAAAGCAUUGAGCAAAUCUUUUGCUAUGAAGGAUUUGGGUGCAGUGAAGAAGAUUCUUGGAAUGAAGAUCAUUAGAGAUCGAUCAAAAAGAAUGUUGUGGAUGUCACAAGAAGAAUAUCUCAAGAAAGUUCUUGAAAGGUUCAACAUGCAUAAUGCAAAACCUGUGCAUGUUCCAUUACCUGGUCAUUUGAAACUCAGUAAGACACAAUGUCCUGAGAAUGAUCAAGAGAAAGAAGAAAUGAGCAAGGUGCCCUAUUCUUCAGCCGUGGGUAGCCUUAUGUACGCCAUGGUCUGCACGAGGCCAGACAUCGGUUAUGCUGUAGGAGUCGUGAGUAGAUUCCUAUCAAAUCCAGGAAAAGAACACUGGAGUGCUGUGAAAUGGAUACUGAGGUAUCUAAAAGGAACUGCCAAAAAGUGCUUAUGUUUUGGCAAUGGAAAUCAAAUGCUCGUUGGAUAUGUAGAUGCUGAUAUGGCCGGAGAUAUAGAUUCAAGAAAAUCUACAUCUGGAUAUUUGAUUACUUUUGCAGGGGGAGCUGUCUCAUGGCAAUCUCGACUACAAAAGUGCGUUGCUUUAAGUACCACAGAAGCAGAGUACAUCGCAAUCACUGAAGGCUGUAAGGAGAUGAUGUGGAUGAAGAAGUUCCUGCAAGAGUUAGGCCAGAAUCAAGAAAUUUAUGUUCUCUAUUGUGAUAGUCAAAGUGCAAUUCACCUCAGCAAGAAUUCGACAUACCAUUCAAGGUCAAAACACAUCGAUGUGAGGUAUCAUUGGAUUCGUGAUGUGUUGGAGAAUAAACUGCUGCAAAUAGAGAAAAUUCACACCAAUGACAACGGAGCAGAUAUGAUGACAAAAGCUCUACCAAAAGAGAAGAUAGAGUUUUGUAAACAAGCUGCAGGCUUGGCAGCAACCCCAAACUAAUCUAAGGAUAGUUUCCCUUUGGCUGGAGGGGGAGAAUUGUUGGUUUCCAGCCACAAUAGUAACAAUAAUGCAUCAAUGGGAAAUGUUGAAUUUUUCUCCACUAGCAUGCCUAUGAAUAAUAGCUUGCGGUGGUAAAAAUUCUACCAUGUCAGUAACAAAUUGACAAACUUGGCAAUUGGUAACUAUUGUCAAAGAUGGUGCAGCAAGGAUUGGAAAAUAAGAACCAAGCAUUUAAUGCACACGGUUCAAAACCCUCUAUAAAUAGAGAAGAGUUUCAGCAAUGAAACACACCACAACACAAUCCUCACUCACAUAGAGUUGAGAGAAAAAUAGAGAGUUCCUCAUAAGAGUGUGAGAGAAAAAUAUAGUGAGCCAAUUUGUGAGAGUUGUAUCUACAAAUUGAGAUACAUAGUUAGGUCCACCUGAGGGUGAAGAUUUGUAUUCCCAUUAUUAUUAUAGUGGAGAUUUAAGAGGCCUACGGGUCCCGUGGUUUUUCCUUACUCACAUUGAGAAGGUUUUCCACGCUAAAAUUUUGUUGUGUCAUUUUACGUUUCCGCUAAAGUGCCUAUUUUGAGUUCACGGAGGAGGGAAAUUAUGCAGGCAUUUCCCAACAG